Nematostella vectensis (starlet sea anemone) is the source of this 2381-nucleotide long non-coding RNA. RefSeq lists it as uncharacterized. The transcript has 2 exons. The record is from RefSeq and is a predicted model, not a curated record. Lineage: Eukaryota; Metazoa; Cnidaria; Anthozoa; Actiniaria; Edwardsiidae.
AUCUUAUUAUACACUGAACCUAGGCGUGUACCUACAGAAGAAGGGUGGACACCAUGAGUUUAACAAGGUAAUAUCUUAUAUACACUGAACCUAGGCGUGUACCUACAGAAGAAGGGUGGACACCAUGAUUUUAACCAGGUAAUAUCUUAUAUACACUGAACCUAGGCAUGUACCUACAGAAGAAGGGUGGACACCAUGAGUUUAACCAGGUAAUAUCUUAUUAUACACUGAACCUAGGCGUGUACCUACAGAAGAAGGGUGGACACCAUGAGUUUAACCAGGUAAUAUCUUAUAUACACUGAACCUAGGUGUGUACCUACAGAAGAAGGGUGGACACCAUGAGUUUAACCAGGUAAUAUCUUAUAUGCACUGAACCUAGGUGUGUACCUACAGAAGAAGGGUGGACACCAUGAGUUUAACCAGGUAAUAUCUUAUUAUACACUGAACCUAGGCGUGUACCUACAGAAGAAGGGUGGACACCAUGAGUUUAACCAGGUAAUAUCUUAUAUACACUGAACCUAGGCGUGUACCUACAGAAGAAGGGUGGACACCAUGAGUUUAACCAGGUAAUAUCUUAUAUACACUGAACCUAGGCAUGUACCUACAGAAGAAGGGUGGACACCAUGAGUUUAACCAGGUAAUAUCUUAUUAUACACUGAACCUAGGCAUGUACCUACAGAAGAAGGGUGGACACCAUGAGUUUAACCAGAUAAUAUCUUAUAUACACUGAACCUAGGCGUGUACCUACAGAAGAAGGGUGGACACCAUGAGUUUAACCAGGUAAUAUCUUAUAUACACUGAACCUAGGCGUGUACCUACAGAAGAAGGGUGGACACCAUGAGUUUAACCAGGUAAUAUCUUAUAUACACUGAACCUAGGCGUGUACCUACAGAAGAAGGGUGGACACCAUGAGUUUAACCAGGUAAUGUCUUAUAUACACUGAACCUAGGCGUGUACCUACAGAAGAAGGGUGGACACCAUGAGUUUAACCAGGUAAUAUCUUAUAUACGCUGAACCUAGGCGUGUACCUAUAGAAGAAGGGUGGACACCAUGAGUUUAACCAGGUAAUAUCUUAUAUACACUGAACCUAGGCGUGUACCUACAGAAGAAGGGUGGACACCAUGAGUUUAACCAGGUAAUAUCUUAUAUACGCUGAACCUAGGCGUGUACCUAUAGAAGAAGGGUGGACACCAUGAGUUUAACCAGGUAAUAUCUUAUAUACACUGAACCUAGGCGUGUACCUACAGAAGAAGGGUGGACACCAUGAGUUUAACCAGGUAAUAUCUUAUAUACACUGAACCUAGGCGUGUACCUACAGAAGAAGGGUGGACACCAUGAGUUUAACCAGGUAAUAUCUUAUUAUACACUGAACCUAGGCGUGUACCUACAGAAGAAGGGUGGACACCAUUAGUUUAACCAGGUAAUAUCUUAUUAUACACUGAACCUAGGCGUGUACCUAUAGAAGAAGGGUGGACACCAUGAGUUUAACCAGGUAAUAUCUUAUAUACACUGAACCUAGGCGUGUUCCUACAGAAGAAGGGUGGACACCAUGAGUUUAACCAGGUAAUAUCUUAUAUACACUGAACCUAGGCGUGUACCUACAGAAGAAGGGUGGACACCAUGAGUUUAACCAGGUAAUAUCUUAUAUACACUGAACCUAGGCGUGUACCUACAGAAGAAGGGUGGACACCAUGAGUUUAACCAGGUAAUAUCUUAUAUACACUGAACCUAGGCGUGUACCUACAGAAGAAGGGUGGACACCAUGAGUUUAACCAGGUAAUGUCUUAUAUACACUGAACCUAGGCAUGUACCUACAGAAGAAGGGUGGACACCAUGAGUUUAACCAGGUAAUAUCUUAUAUACACUGAACCUAGGCGUGUACCUACAGAAGAAGGGUGGACACCAUGAGUUUAACCACGUAAUAUCUUAUUAUACACUGAACCUAGGAGUGUACCUACAGAAGAAGGGUGGACACCAUGAGUUUAACCAGGUAAUAUCUUAUAUACACUGAACCUAGGCGUGUACCUACAGAAGAAGGGUAGACACCAUUAGUUUAACCAGGUAAUAUCUUAUAUACACUGAACCUAGGCGUGUACCUACAGAAGAAGAGUGGACACCAUGAGUUUAACCAGAUAAUAUCUUAUAUACACUGAACCUAGGCGUGUACCUACAGAAGAAGGGUGGACACCAUGAGUUUAACCAGGUAAUAUCUUAUAUACACUGAACCUAGGCGUGUACCUACAGAAGAAGGGUGGACACCAUGAGUUUAACCAGGUAAUAUCUUAUAUACACUGAACCUAGGCGUGUACCUACAGAAGAAGGGUAGACACCAUUAGUUUAACCAGGUAAUAUCUUAUAUACACUGAACCUAGGCGUGUACC